This 255-nucleotide ribosomal RNA is filed under the name Serratia marcescens. Its description in RNAcentral is "partial 16S ribosomal RNA". It matches the Rfam family "Bacterial small subunit ribosomal RNA", at positions 345 to 592 of the family's 1533-position model. Lineage: Bacteria; Pseudomonadati; Pseudomonadota; Gammaproteobacteria; Enterobacterales; Yersiniaceae. The record is from RNAcentral.
GAGGCAGCAGUGGGGAAUAUUGCACAAUGGGCGCAAGCCUGAUGCAGCCAUGCCGCGUGUGUGAAGAAGGCCUUCGGGUUGUAAAGCACUUUCAGCGAGGAGGAAGGUGGUGAACUUAAUACGUUCACCAAUUGACGUUACUCGCAGAAGAAGCACCGGCUAACUCCGUGCCAGCAGCCGCGGUAAUACGGAGGGUGCAAGCGUUAAUCGGAAUUACUGGGCGUAAAGCGCACGCAGGCGGUUUGUUAAGUCAGA